ACGAAGCCGGAAGGCCUUCGCCACCUCUGCCGCCACAUCUCUUGUGCGGGCGGCUGAGGCGUUUAGUAGAGGUUGUUCGAAGCAUUUGCUGUGUGCUCGGGUGAAGCUGCAGAUUUCAGAGGUGUAUCUCAAAGCUGCCGUGCUGCCGUUGCACACUGGUUCCCAAACGCCGCCUUCCCUGCCCCAGCCUGAUGUUACUCUGUGAACAGACCCACGCGCUGUGGUGCUUCGGGCCGUUCUGUUAGCUUUCCUCUUCUCCAUCGCAGCCAUCACCCUGUGAGGCAAAUGCUUUGAUAGUACAUCUCCUUACUCUCCAGUGUGCUGACGACACACGUAUUUCGCAAGGCCUUCUUGCUGUAUCAUGGGGACUUUAAUCUGCAGGGCUGUGACUCACGCUGCCUGGUGGAGCAGCCUUACCAGCACUGCACAGCCAGCUGGUGGCCUCGAGGCUCCUCCUGCCUCCCAGCCUUCUUGAAAUGAGUGUGGUUUAUCGGGCAGAAGAGAGGAACUGGGCUGAUCGGUUCAGAGUCUGAAAGAGAUUUAUGUUUUCCUUCGGUUAUGAAAAUAACUGUAUAUCAAACACCACCAGCACGAUAUAAAAGUGCUGUCCUCCCUCACCUCUCCCCUGAACGCUCCCUUUCCAGCAUUCAUCCUGCAGGGAGCUGUGCUGCUGGGACAAGGCUUCAAAUUCACGGGUUACAUGAAGUAUUGGUUUCUGUGGCAGGAGAGACGCACAGGAUGGCGAUCUGAAAACAGGAUGUGUUCGGGGCACAUCCGUCUGCUUCUCUAUUUUGAUUGUACUUGGAGAUUCAUUUCCUUUUCAUGGCUGCCUGUGGCUUGGCAACCUGCUGAGUGACUUGGUGACCACACAUCACCUUUGGUCUUGUGACAAAAAGGGUGGGUUUUUUUUUGGAAAUGUAAGGUUUGGAAAACAGAAAUGCAGCGCUGAGUUUGGGUUGCAGGAGAGAAAUGCAGUCUGUUUUGGGUGGGUUCAUACUGCAGGGUUACGGCCUGCAGAGACAGACGCAGACUCAGGCCCAGGAGGGUGACCUGCCCUUCCCAGCCAUCCAGCAAACGAUGACUUCCAUUUCAUUUUUGAGAAGAUCAGACCUUAAAACUGACAGUUUACAGAUCAGAAUUAUGCAGUGCUUUCCCUUUCUGGAACUGACCUAUACCUGCUCUCAGUAAUGACUUAAUUUAGCCCCUGCUAUUGGAAGUUCUGCAACAUAUACAGGUGGAAAAUUUGAACAAUUGGAUUGCUAGCAUACAUUGGAGUGCUGUUCUUCAUGAGGACCAAAACAAUUAAAUUAGGCAUUGAUCUCAUUAAAACUACAUCUUAAAUCAGAGCGUAUCAAUGUAUCAGAUGAGCAUGUAAGUAUCUAUCUGCAAGGAGGGAUAUAUUUACUGUAACUGGGAAUAAGUGACUUGUUUACAGGAGUGUCACAGGCUGGUCAUCAAAUAGUUGUAAAUGGCAGAAGCAUCUGGCAAAACCACAGCUGUUAAAGACACAUCUCAAUAAUAUGAUUGUAUUAGCCAUCAGGUGUCCCGAAGCUAAGGUGCAAAGUUCAUGUUAAUCAUUUUCAGUUGCAUGGCAUUCUGGGAAAGACUGCCUCUUACCUUUCGCAGGGCUUGGACCUGUAGAUUCCACGUAGUGCCAAAAAUACCAGGAUCCUGGUUCUACCAAUGUUUCACUCUAUUGUUUUUUGAAACCAUCUCUCAAAACAAUUAAGACUUGGAAUUUCCUGGUUUGGUACACACUGAACAGAAGAGCUGGAUCAGAAGCAGAUUUUCAUGCAGUUCUAUUUGCAUUUAGCUGCUCUUGUCUUCAAACAGAGGGGAAAAGAGAUUUUUGAAAGUUAUCUAUCAUUUGAGAAAGUAGAAAUGAGAGUGGGAACAAAGGAGCCAGUCUGACAUCUGUUACUGUCCUGAAAAUGGAUGUGGUGGUACACUAGUCAAGUAUUCUCCUCUUUUUUUUUUAAUUGUGUGUAAAGAUUGUUGUAUUUAUUUCAUAUGAAUAGAGAGGUUAAUUGCAUUUUGUUAUUCAUAGCAGUGCAUUUCUUAAACUGAGUGCUUUACCAGAUGCACUGUACGUACACCUCAGCGACUAACGGGAUUCUGCCCUACCUGGAUGAGCUGAAACUGGUGAGCUUCAGCAGAGGUAUUCACCAAACCACAGUUGUUAUGUAGGCUUUGUGAAAGGUUUUGAAGAUUUGUUUUUGUUUGAAAUCUGCACAUCAACAUCACAGUCUCAUAGCCAACAUUUUGUCAGCACUGUUCGGUGCCGUAUGCUUUUACGCAGUGACAAAAGGUAAACUGUAAUGUCAGCCAUUUUGUGCUUCCUGUUCAGUGUUCCUCAUCGUGGUUCUCCUAUGCCAGGAUAAAAUAGAAGAAGUCCACUUACAGUUGAUCUGAUUGACUACGGUGCAUCAUAAAACAAAUGCUGUCCUUUCCAGUUUAGCGAUCUAACCAAGACUGGUUUCAAAGCAUCUUCAUGGGCAGUGGGUUGGUUUGAUAGGACCUCUCAAAGUUCUAACAUAAUAGCUUUCACUUUAUACAUAUAUGUAUAUAUUUAAUGUCACGUUAAAGUUCAUGGUUAAGUAAACAUCUGCCCU
Molecule: long non-coding RNA, 2612 nt
Organism: Gallus gallus (chicken)
Lineage: Eukaryota; Metazoa; Chordata; Aves; Galliformes; Phasianidae
Source: Ensembl